Molecule: long non-coding RNA, 1379 nt
Filed under: Chrysolophus pictus (golden pheasant)
Lineage: Eukaryota; Metazoa; Chordata; Aves; Galliformes; Phasianidae
Description: lncRNA (ENSCPIG00010007532.1)
Source: RNAcentral
GUCGGGGCCGCUCGGGCCGGGACCGGGGCUGAGGACGGAGCCAUGAGCGCUCUGAGCGGUCGGGACGGGUGGAGGUAUCUGGACGUGGCCAGGGAGGCAAAGUCGAGCCGGGUCAGGUUGGGCCAAAAGAGGCCGCACAGCAGCAGCCUGUACCCCAGUACCUGCGACCUGGACUACAACCUCUACAGGGAUGACUUCCCAUACCGGGUGUAUGAGUACCAGAAGAUCCCACCCCUCAUUAACCGCAUCCCCGUCAAGGCCAGGAGAACGCAUGCAAGAGCAGGAGGCACAAGCAGCCCCAGCCCCCAGCACGGAGCGCGGAGCAGCACCAGCUCCACAGGGACACGGACGAAACUGAGAGCCGAGGAGCUGCAUUCCAUCAAGGGGGAGCUGAGCCAGAUCAAGGAGCGAGUGGACAGCCUGCUGGAGAGCCUGGAGCGCAUGGACCAGCGCAGGGAGCGGCUCUCGGGGUGCAAGGAGAGUGAGAAGAAGAAGGCAGAAGUGGGCUCAGCAUCACCAGCACCACUGGGAGAGGGCUCACGAGGCAAGGAGGGGAGCAGAGGGGAUGGGCGCAACAUGGACAGCACUGAGGAGAGCACAGACACGGAGGAGAUGAUGAAGGCCCACACCUCAGACCACGAGGGGAGCCAGUAGUGGGGAUGCCAGAGCCCCGCAGCUCGUGCCCCAUCUCUGCAUCCCUUUGGAGGCUCCCAGCAGGUGCCAGGCUGGUACCCAGGGCUUCCUGCACUCAUAUUCCCACCACCAGUGCCAGCAGCCCCGUGCCCUGCAUUGGCCAGCCGUGGUGAGAGAAGUCUUUGUGUUUGAGUGCACAUUGUUUUUUUUAUUCCUCUUGUUUUGCUAUGUAAGUACGUGGGGAGAGUGGGAGGGCAGAAGCUCCACAUCCCGAAGGAUCAUUAGCCCGGAGCUGCGAUCUGUGGUGUCCCUGAUCCUCCCCUCCCCAAUGGGUAAAGUAUCCCACUGACCCAGGGGUCACACCCAAGCCCUCCAUCCCAUGAGCACAACACAGGCCGGAUGCGCUCCCCAUGCAGAACAAAGCCUCAGUGCUGUCCCUCCUGGGGACACAGAUGGCCACACCUGAUACCACCAGCACAGGGCACCCAGCAGUGUGGCCCGGAGCCCAGCCCCCCCCCACCAGUGGGUUUCUCUUAAUGGUGUCCCUAAGGACUCCAUUCUUUGCCACCAUAGCAGGGAUCCCACCGGCCACCUCUGCCUGGGGAAGUUGUGCCUCCAUCCCUCUCCCUACAUGUCUGUGUCCCCCGUUUUGAGGUCGUCCUCCUCUUGCUGGUAGGAAGUUGUUCUGUAUUUCUAAUUUGCUCCGGCAAAAGAGUGUAUUGUGCUGGAAAGGAAAAAAAAAACAG